This 429-nucleotide ribosomal RNA is filed under the name Chloroflexota bacterium. RNAcentral's name for it is "Chloroflexi bacterium partial 16S ribosomal RNA". It matches the Rfam family "Bacterial small subunit ribosomal RNA", at positions 355 to 776 of the family's 1533-position model. The record is from RNAcentral. Lineage: Bacteria; Bacillati; Chloroflexota.
UGGGGAAUAUUGCACAAUGGGCGCAAGCCUGAUGCAGCCAUGCCGCGUGUAUGAAGAAGGCCUUCGGGUUGUAAAGUACUUUCAGUCGGGAGGAAGGUGGUAAGGUUAAUAACCUUAUCAAUUGACGUUACCGACAGAAGAAGCACCGGCUAACUCCGUGCCAGCAGCCGCGGUAAUACGGAGGGUGCAAGCGUUAAUCGGAAUCACUGGGCGUAAAGCGCACGCAGGCGGUUGAUUGAGUCAGAUGUGAAAUCCCCGGGCUUAACCCGGGAAUUGCAUCUGAUACUGGUCAGCUAGAGUCUUGUAGAGGGGGGUAGAAUUCCAUGUGUAGCGGUGAAAUGCGUAGAGAUGUGGAGGAAUACCGGUGGCGAAGGCGGCCCCCUGGACAAAGACUGACGCUCAGGUGCGAAAGCGUGGGGAGCAAACAGG